Molecule: unclassified non-coding RNA, 345 nt
Filed under: soil metagenome
Description: partial contains 5.8S ribosomal RNA, internal transcribed spacer 2, and large subunit ribosomal RNA
Rfam family: 5.8S ribosomal RNA (bases 1-120)
Source: RNAcentral
GAUGAAGAACGCAGCGAAAUGCGAUACGUAAUGUGAAUUGCAGAAUUCAGUGAAUCAUCGAGUCUUUGAACGCACAUUGCGCCCCCUGGUAUUCCGGGGGGCAUGCCUGUCCGAGCGUCAUUUCUGCCCUCAAGCACGGCUUGUGUGUUGGGCCUCCGUCCUCCUCCCGGGGGACGGGCCCGAAAGGCAGCGGCGGCACCGCGUCCGGUCCUCGAGCGUAUGGGGCUUCGUCACCCGCUCUUGUAGGCCCGGCCGGCGCUUGCCGACACAUCAAUCUUUUUUCCAGGUUGACCUCGGAUCAGGUAGGGAUACCCGCUGAACUUAAGCAUAUCAAUAAGCGGAGGA